AGAGUUUGAUCCUGGCUCAGAACGAACGCUGGCGGCGUGCCUAACACAUGCAAGUCGAACGGAAUGAGGGGGCUUGCUCCUCAUUUAGUGGCGCACGGGUGGGUAACGCGUAGAUAAUCUGCCUGAUGAUCUGGGAUAACACUUCGAAAGAGGUGCUAAUACCGGAUAAGCCCACGGAUUCUUGGAUUCUGCGGGGAAAAGGGGGGGACCUUCGGGCCUUCUGUCAUCAGAUGAGUCUGCGUACCAUUAGCUAGUUGGUAGGGUAAUGGCCUACCAAGGCUACGAUGGUUAGCKGGUCUGAGAGGAUGAUCCGCCACACUGGAACUGGAACACGGACCAGACUCCUACGGGAGGCAGCAGUGAGGAAUAUUGCGCAAUGGGGGCAACCCUGACGCAGCGACGCCGCGUGGAUGAUGAAGGCCCUUGGGUCGUAAAAUCCUGUCAGAUGGAAAGAAAUGUACAGGUGUUAAUAUCGCCUGUAUUUGACGGUACCAUCAAAGGAAGCACCGGCUAACUCCGUGCCAGCCGCCGCGGUAAUA
This 539-nucleotide ribosomal RNA is filed under the name bacterium enrichment culture clone Cont8_3130. Its description in RNAcentral is "bacterial SSU rRNA". It matches the Rfam family "Bacterial small subunit ribosomal RNA", at positions 8 to 525 of the family's 1533-position model. The record is from RNAcentral.